GAUGAACGCUGGCGGCGUGCCUAAUACAUGCAAGUCGAGCGAACAGACGAGGAGCUUGCUCCUCUGACGUUAGCGGCGGACGGGUGAGUAACACGUGGAUAACCUACCUAUAAGACUGGGAUAACUUCGGGAAACCGGAGCUAAUACCGGAUAAUAUAUUGAACCGCAUGGUUCAAUAGUGAAAGACGGUUUUGCUGUCACUUAUAGAUGGAUCCGCGCCGCAUUAGCUAGUUGGUAAGGUAACGGCUUACCAAGGCGACGAUGCGUAGCCGACCUGAGAGGGUGAUCGGCCACACUGGAACUGAGACACGGUCCAGACUCCUACGGGAGGCAGCAGUAGGGAAUCUUCCGCAAUGGGCGAAAGCCUGACGGAGCAACGCCGCGUGAGUGAUAAAGGUCUUCGGAUCGUAAAGCUCUGCUAUUAGGGAAGAACAAAUGUGUAAGUAACUAUGCACGUCUUGACGGUACCUAAUCAGAAAGCCACGGCUAACUACGUG
Molecule: ribosomal RNA, 497 nt
Filed under: uncultured bacterium
Lineage: Bacteria
Description: partial 16S ribosomal RNA
Rfam family: Bacterial small subunit ribosomal RNA
Source: RNAcentral